This 450-nucleotide ribosomal RNA is filed under the name uncultured bacterium. RNAcentral describes it as "partial 16S ribosomal RNA". It matches the Rfam family "Bacterial small subunit ribosomal RNA", at positions 354 to 796 of the family's 1533-position model. The record is from RNAcentral.
GUGGGGAAUAUUGCACAAUGGGCGCAAGCCUGAUGCAGCCAUGCCGCGUGUGUGAAGAAGGCCUUCGGGUUGUAAAGCACUUUCAGCGGGGAGGAAGGCGGUGAGGUUAAUAACCUCACCGAUUGACGUUACCCGCAGAAGAAGCACCGGCUAACUCCGUGCCAGCAGCCGCGGUAAUACGGAGGGUGCAAGCGUUAAUCGGAAUUACUGGGCGUAAAGCGCACGCAGGCGGUCUGUCAAGUCGGAUGUGAAAUCCCCGGGCUCAACCUGGGAACUGCAUUCGAAACUGGCAGGCUAGAGUCUUGUAGAGGGGGGUAGAAUUCCAGGUGUAGCGGUGAAAUGCGUAGAGAUCUGGAGGAAUACCGGUGGCGAAGGCGGCCCCCUGGACAAAGACUGACGCUCAGGUGCGAAAGCGUGGGGAGCAAACAGGAUUAGAAACCCUGGUAGUCC